GAUGAACGUUGGCGGCGUGCUUAACACAUGCAAGUCGAACGAACUCAAUUCUUCGGAUGAGAGUUAGUGGCAAACGGGUGAGUAACACGUAGGUGACCUGCCCCGAAGCGGGGGAUAACGACUGGAAACGGUCGCUAAUACCGCAUGUGCUCGGCAAUUCGAUUUGUCGAGUAAAACUUUGGUGCUUCGGGAGGGACCUGCGGCCGAUUAGCUAGUUGGUGUGGUAAUGGCUCACCAAGGCAAUGAUCGGUAGGGGGCGUGAGAGCGUGGCCCCCCACACUGGGACUGAGACACGGCCCAGACUCCUACGGGAGGCAGCAGUGAGGAAUAUUGCACAAUGGGCGAAAGCCUGAUGCAGCAACGCCGCGUGGGGGAUGAAGACCUUCGGGUUGUAAACUCCUUUCUGAGGGACGAGAAAGGACGGUACCUCAGGAAUAAGUCUCGGCUAACUACGUG
RNAcentral lists this ribosomal RNA (456 nucleotides) under uncultured bacterium. RNAcentral describes it as "bacterial SSU rRNA". It matches the Rfam family "Bacterial small subunit ribosomal RNA", at positions 28 to 507 of the family's 1533-position model. The record is from RNAcentral.